This 803-nucleotide ribosomal RNA is filed under the name uncultured Candidatus Poseidoniales archaeon. RNAcentral describes it as "SSU rRNA". It matches the Rfam family "Archaeal small subunit ribosomal RNA", at positions 47 to 857 of the family's 1478-position model. The record is from RNAcentral. Lineage: Archaea; Methanobacteriati; Thermoplasmatota; Candidatus Poseidoniia; Candidatus Poseidoniales.
AGCCAUGCGAGUCGAGAGAAUAAGAUUCUCGGCAUACCGCUCAGUAACACGUGGAUAACUGCCCUGUGCUGGGGGAUAACCUCGCGAAAGUGAGAACAAUACCCCAUGGGUCACUAUGCCUGGAACGGUUAGUGGCUGAAAGCUCCGGCGGCACAGGAUGGGUCUGCGGCGUAUCAGGUCGUAGGGGGUGUAACGUACCUCCUAGCCUUCGACGCGUACGGGUUGUGAGAGCAAUUGCCCGGAGAUGGAUUCUGAGACACGAAUCCAGGCCCUACGGGGCGCAGCAGGCGCGAAAACUUGACAAUGCGAGAAAUCGUGAUCAGGGGACUCCAGUUGGCUGGAUCAAAAGUCCAGUCUGAACCGACUUUAAAUCGGUCGGGUAAUAGGGGCGGGAAAGACCGGUGCCAGCCGCCGCGGUAAUACCGGCGCCCCAAGUGGUCGUCACUAUUAUUGGGCCUAAAACGUCCGUAGCCGGUUUGGUAAAUCCGUGGGUAAAUCAGACAGCCCAACUGUCUGAAUUCUGCGGGGACUGCCAGACUUGAGACCGGGAGAGGUGCGGGGUACUUGCGGGGUACCGGUAAAAUGGGAUCAUCCCGUAGAGACCACCUGUUGCGAAGGCGCCGCACUAGAACGGAUCUGACGGUCAGGGACGAAGCCUAGGGGCACGAACCGGAUUAGAUACCCGGGUAGUCCUAGGUGUAAACGCUGUGGACUUGGUGUCGGGGACCUUCUGAGGGUUUCCGGUGCCGGAGUGAAGAUGUUAAGUCCACUGCCUGGGGAGUACGGUCGCAAGGCUGAAACUU